UAGUCUGAACUAACCCCUUUCCAAAUGUACGGUUACCGAUUAUUACAGCCCGAUCAAGAUCUUGUAAAGAACCUGCAAGGAUUUCUGAUGAAGAAGCCGUACCACUGUUCACUAAUACGACCAAUGGGAUUUCAAGAUCCAACGGUUCACGCAAAGUUUUAUAGGUAUUACUAGCCUGCUUGAUUUUUCCCUUUGUCGUUACCAACGUUUUACCACGGGGUAAAAAGAAAUUAGCAAUCUCUACAGCCUCAUCCAGCAAACCACCGCCAUUGUUACGCA
Molecule: non-coding RNA, 279 nt
Filed under: Bacteroides cutis
Lineage: Bacteria; Pseudomonadati; Bacteroidota; Bacteroidia; Bacteroidales; Bacteroidaceae
Source: RNAcentral